AAUAAUUUUUCUCUGGGGGGUUGAGUGUCCGUGAUAUGUAACAACAAGGAUGUCCGUCUUGUGAUAAGAUUGCGCCUAUUCCUUCAUUGGAAGCGUCUGUGGUAUACAAAGCAGUAUUUGUUCAAUAAUCCUCGUAACGCGGUAUCCAUCAUGCGUUGGAAGGUGGCUGGGGCGUUUUUUAAACCGAAUGGCAUGCGAUUAUAGUGAAAGUGUCCCUGAGGUGUGCUAAAGGCUGUAUAUUUCUUUGAGUCGGGGUCCAUAGGUAUUUGAUGGAAUCCUGAAGAUAAAUCUAGAGCAGAGAAGAAUUUGGCGUUGCCUAAUUGUGAUAGAAUGUCGUCGAUUGUCGGUAGUGGGUAGGCGUCUU
This 364-nucleotide unclassified non-coding RNA is filed under the name Bombus terrestris (buff-tailed bumblebee). RNAcentral describes it as "misc RNA ENSBTSG00005028555.1". The record is from RNAcentral. Lineage: Eukaryota; Metazoa; Arthropoda; Insecta; Hymenoptera; Apidae.